AGAGGCUUCACCCCAAGUUGAGGUUGAACAUACUAUUAGAAAAUCGUGCCGAGGUAGCAACUUCACUAUGGUCGAUGACAAUUUGCUUGUGGAGGCGUGGCUUUAUGUUUCUAUGGAUGCCGUUCAAGGAAAUCAACAAAAAAACAAGGUUUAUUGGAAAAGAAUUUGUGACUACUUUCACGAACGCAAGACACUUGGAGCCAAUCGUAAUCAGACCUCUCUAAUGAAUCGGUGGUCAACGAUUCAACUUGCAGUAAAUAAGUUUUGUGGUUUCUUAGCCCAAAUUGAAAAGAGGUCACAAAGUGGUUUGACUGAGCAAGACAAGAUUUGCCAAGCAAGACAAAUGUUUGUGGAUAUUCAAAAAUCACCCUUUAACUUUGAACAUUCUUGGCUUAUUUUGAGGUUUCAUCCAAAAUGGUUGGCUCAUUUGGACAAUAUAAAACUAAAGAAAAAACCAGUUGUGAUAAAUUUAGGUGACGAGAAGGUCCCUCAUAAAGCUUUUGAAGAAAUAGAGCGACCAAUAGGAGGGAAAGCCGAAAAUGAGAAACGAAAGAGCAAGGAGAAAAUAAAACUGUUUGAGGAAGCAUGUGAGCAAGACAAAGAGAUGUUUUUUCUUAAGCAAGAGGAAGUGCGCCUUAGAGAGAGGGAAUUGCGCCUUAGAAAAAAAACGCUUCGGUUGGAAGAAGAGAGAGAGAUAAAAGAAUUCAUGUUGUUGGAUAUAAGUCAAUUGGAUGAAGAUGGCAAAGAAUAUGUUCGCCGACGCAAAAAGGCAAUCCUUCAAGAAGUCUCUUGCAAGCUGGCCUGUUUGGAACCAUAUUAUGUUUCCAAGACAAGCUAAACAGUCUCUUUUACCAAGUAAACAGGAAAAAUGCCAUGGAGAGAAAAUCUGUGUGCAGUUUUCAUGAGGCUGUGGGACCAGUGUUGAUGACGUUAUUUCAGGGGAUAUAUUGCUCAGCAGGGAAUGACAGAUACUAAAUGAAGAAUUUUGUUUUGUUUAUGAAUUUGUUUAUCAAAACAUGUUUAAGUAAUUAGUUUAUCAGAAUUUAUGUUUGAUGUUCGUUAUUUUGGGGGAUGUUGUACAUCAGUGAAUAAUGACAAAGAUACUAGAAGAAGACUUUUCUGACUUCUUUGAAUGACAAUGACUUCCUGUUUAUGAAUUUGUUUAU
RNA transcript from Alnus glutinosa, 1166 nucleotides. It is a transcript of the gene named glutathione S-transferase T3-like, with no coding region annotated. The transcript has 4 exons. The record is from RefSeq and is a predicted model, not a curated record. NCBI's taxonomy places the organism in Eukaryota, Viridiplantae, Streptophyta, Magnoliopsida, Fagales, Betulaceae.